Molecule: ribosomal RNA, 2007 nt
Filed under: Dunaliella tertiolecta
Lineage: Eukaryota; Viridiplantae; Chlorophyta; Chlorophyceae; Chlamydomonadales; Dunaliellaceae
Description: partial Bacterial large subunit ribosomal RNA
Rfam family: Bacterial large subunit ribosomal RNA
Source: RNAcentral
AAUGAACUUAGGCUUACGGUGGAGACCUAGGCACCCAGAGACGAAGAAGGGCGCAGAUACCGGCGAAACGCUCCGGGGAGUUGGCAACAAACUUUGAUCCGGAGAUCCCCGAAUAGGGCAACCUGUACAACUUCCAACAGAAUUCAUAAGUUGGAAAGAGGCAACCCAGUGAAUUGAAACAUCUUAGUAGCUGGAGGAAAAGAAAGCAAACGCGAUUCCCGUAGUAGCGGCGAGCGAACCGGGAACAGCCUAAACCCAUUUCCAUUAGGGAAUGGGGGUAGUGGGAAGACAUUAUAAAAAAUAGAAAAUAAGAGAAAUUUCUAAUCAGCGAAGCUGUUAAAAAUUUCUUCUCUUUAAAAAUUUUCUAAAAACGAAACAGCUGAAUCCUGUACCAUAGAUGGUGAAAGUCCAGUAGUUGAAAUGAAAAAAAACAAAAUGUCUUAUCCCGAGUAGCAUGGGACACGUGGAAUCCCGUGUGAAUCAGCGAGGACCACCUCGUAAGGCUAAAUACUCCUGGGUGACCGAUAGUGAAAUAGUACUGCGAAGGAAAGGUGAAAAGAACCCUCGUAUAGGGAGUGAAAUAGAACAUGAAACCGUAAGCUGACAAGCAGUGGGAGGUUAAGAGCUGACCGCGUGCCUGUUGAAGAAUGAGCCGGCGACUUAGAGGGAGUGGCAAAAAGGUUAAGGAGAAACAUCCGGAGCCAACGCGAAAGCGAGUCCGAAAAUUCGGCGAAGAAUUUGUCAUUUCCUCUGGACCCGAACCCGGGUGAUCUAAUCAUGACCAACAUGAAGCUUGGGUAACACUAAGUGGAGGUGUGCACCGACCGAUGUUGAAAAAUCGGCGGAUGAGUUGUGAUUAUGCGCAGAAAUUGCAAUCGAACUCGGAGCUAGCUGGAUCUCCCCGAAAUGCGUUGAGGCGCAGCGGCAACGACGAGCUAUCAUAAGGUAAAGCUACUGUUUCGAUGCGGGCUGCGAGAGCGGUACCAAAUCGUGGCAAACUCAGAAUGUAUGAUAUUGCCUACCGUUAGCCAGUGAGACCCAAGGUGAUAAGAUCUUCGGUCAAGAGGGAAACAGCCCAGAUCACCAGCUAAGGCCCCUAAAUGGUUUCUAAGUGGAAAAGGAUGUGAGAGUGCAGAAACAACCAGGAGGUUUGCUUAGAAGCAGCAAUUUCCUUGAAAGAGUGCGUAAUAGCUCACUGGUAAAGCGUUCUUGCGCCGAUAAUGGCCGGGACUAAGAAACCUGCCGAAGCUGUGAGAUUCUUAUAUAAGAAUCGGUAGGGGAGCGUUCCGUUAUUGGGUGAAGUUAUGGUGUAAACCAGAAUGGACAAAACGGAAGUGAGAAUGUCGGCUUGAGUAACGAAAACAUUGGUGAGAAUCCAAUGCCCCGAAAACCGUUGGGUUCCUCCACUAGGUUCGUCCAUGGGGGGUUAGUCAGGUCCUAAGGCUAGGCCGAAAGGCGUCGUCGAUGGCAAACAGGUUAAUAUUCCUGUACUGAUUCUAUUGGGAACAAGGGACGAAGAAGGCUAAACUGAGACUACUAAUGGAUUAUAGUGGAAGCGUCAAGGUGUUGAGAGUUAGAAGAAAAACUAAACUUGAGCUGAGGCGUUAUCCCGAUAACAAUCCUUCGGGGUUGUUGUCGUCAGUGAUGUCAUGCUUCCAAGAAAAGCUUGAGCUCCAUAACAAUAGAAUUACCUGUACCUAAAACCGACACAGGUAGGUGAGUAGAGAAUACUAAGGGGCGCGAGAGAACUCUCUCUAAGGAACUCGGCAAACUGGCCCCGUAACUUCGGAAGAAGGGGCGCCUUUAAUUUCAUUAAAGGUCGCAGUAAACAGGCCCAGGCAACUGUUUAUCAAAAACAUAGGUCUCCGCAAAGUCGAAAGACUAUAUAUGGGGGCUGACGCCUGCCCAGUGCCGGAAGGUUAAGGAAGUUGGUUAGAGAGCUUGUCUCUCGAAGCUGACGACCGAAGCCCCGGUGAACGGCGGCCGUAACUAUAACGGUCCUAAGGU